RNAcentral lists this ribosomal RNA (497 nucleotides) under uncultured bacterium. RNAcentral describes it as "partial 16S ribosomal RNA". It matches the Rfam family "Bacterial small subunit ribosomal RNA", at positions 28 to 507 of the family's 1533-position model. The record is from RNAcentral.
GACGAACGCUGGCGGCGUGCCUAAUACAUGCAAGUUGAGCGAUGAAGAUUGGUGCUUGCACCAAUUUGAAGAGCAGCGAACGGGUGAGUAACGCGUGGGGAAUCUGCCUUUGAGCGGGGGACAACAUUUGGAAACGAAUGCUAAUACCGCAUAAUAACUUUAAACAUAAGUUUUAAGUUUGAAAGAUGCAAUUGCAUCACUCAAAGAUGAUCCCGCGUUGUAUUAGCUAGUUGGUGAGGUAAAGGCUCACCAAGGCGAUGAUACAUAGCCGACCUGAGAGGGUGAUCGGCCACGUUGGGACUGAGACACGGCCCAAACUCCUACGGGAGGCAGCAGUAGGGAAUCUUCGGCAAUGGACGAAAGUCUGACCGAGCAACGCCGCGUGAGUGAAGAAGGUUUUCGGAUCGUAAAACUCUGUUGGUAGAGAAGAACGUUGGUGAGAGUGGAAAGCUCAUCAAGUGACGGUAACUACCCAGAAAGGGACGGCUAACUACGUG